This 74-nucleotide transfer RNA is filed under the name Cavia porcellus (domestic guinea pig). It matches the Rfam family "tRNA". From Rfam's summary of the family: Transfer RNA (tRNA) molecules are approximately 80 nucleotides in length. Lineage: Eukaryota; Metazoa; Chordata; Mammalia; Rodentia; Caviidae. The record is from Rfam by way of RNAcentral.
AGGGAUGUAGGCUCAGCAGGCACAGCACCUGCCUGGCAAGCAUGAGAUCAUGAGUUCGAUUCCCGGCACCCCUC